GGGCUUCGCAACGGCUGUGGGGCCCAGAGCAGCGUCGACGGCAGCCUGCGUUUCCGCACGGGCCAGCAGCCGUGGCCAGCUGCUCGUCCCUAGGGCUUUUCAGCUCCGGGGCAGCAUCUCUGCCGGGCGGACAGACCUGGAGGUGGAGAGCAAGAGAGAGAAGAGACGGAAUACAGAGGAGACAGCGGCUCAGCUGAGCGGACACCGCCUCCCGUCAGGAAGAAGGCUGCGAAUUCCCCGCCGCCGCCUCUGCCACCAACACCAGCGCCGCCACCGCUGCCGCCGACCUCACCGCCGCCACUGCCGCCGCCGCCUCCACCACCAGCGAGCCUGGGCCGGGCAGGGCGCCGAGCGGGCCGUCUGAGGCGCAGGCCGGAGCGGGCCCGGCACCGCAGCGCUGGUGGAGGCCGGGUCUCCGAGGCGACGGCCGAGGCAGGUACAACGGUACCGGAGGAGGCGGCGCCGCCGCUCGUCCCUUGUCCUCAGGAGGGGGCCCAUGGCGAGCGACAAGCCGGUCCGGCCCGGGGCUCGAGCCUCAGCCCGUGGAGCCCAUCGCCGUCCGGGCCGGCAGCGGAGGCGGUGGCGAAGGCGGCGGCGGCAGCGGGAUGGUGAGGCUGAUGGGGCGUCCGGCUCCGACUCCGGCUCCGGUUCCGCUCCCCGCGGGGACGAGUUACCUUUCAGUGCCGAUCAGCACCAUCCAGAUGAAAUUCGCAGUUUGGACUCCUGCAGGUCGGACAGGUCAGCAGCAGGGACAUCGUGGAGAUGGUGCUCAACCUGGCAAUUUCAUUGCCUCCUUUUGCAAAUUGUCCUUAUCACAUUGGCUUCACCCUGAACACUUGGCUUCGUGUGGAUCCAUUAAUAACAUUAAUGUUGAAAAGGAUAAAGCCUCAUUUUUAUUGUUUUGUAUGCAAAGAAGUUGGCUAUUUUGCUGGCUCAGUAGAUACAUCAGGAAACUCCAAAGGAAAAGAUUUUCAGCACUGUGUGAAAUAUGAUCUGCAACCAUGCAAGGUAACUCAAGCCGAAAUUGGAGGACAAGUCACAGUAAGACCAUGUUGGAAGACAAAAUGCUUGCCAGGAUGGGAGCUGGUUGGUGGAGCAUUUGAUUUGGAGACAAACUUUAUUAUCCAGGAUGCUGAGAGUAUAACAUGCAUAACAGAGUUUUUUGGGGCACUGUGGUGUAACAUGCCAAGCAGAAAUAUGGAGCAAGUUUGCAGCCAUUGUAUGAAUAAGUGCUUGGAAUUUACAGACUAG
RNAcentral lists this long non-coding RNA (1251 nucleotides) under Castor canadensis (American beaver). RNAcentral describes it as "lncRNA (ENSCCNG00000026405.1)". Lineage: Eukaryota; Metazoa; Chordata; Mammalia; Rodentia; Castoridae. The record is from RNAcentral.